Dipodomys ordii (Ord's kangaroo rat) is the source of this 70-nucleotide non-coding RNA. NCBI's taxonomy places the organism in Eukaryota, Metazoa, Chordata, Mammalia, Rodentia, Heteromyidae. The record is from Rfam.
GGGAAUGUGGCUCAGUGGUAGAGUGCUUGCUUCGUAUGCAUAAGGCUCUGGGUUUGAUUCCUCAGCACCA